UACGUAGGGUGCAAGCGUUAAUCGGAAUUACUGGGCGUAAAGCGUGCGCAGGCGGCUUUGCAAGACAGAUGUGAAAUCCCCGGGCUUAACCUGGGAACUGCAUUUGUGACUGCAUGGCUGGAGUGCGGCAGAGGGGGAUGGAAUUCCGCGUGUAGCAGUGAAAUGCGUAGAUAUGCGGAGGAACACCGAUGGCGAAGGCGGCAUCCUGGACCAAUAUUGACGCUGAGGAGCGAAAGCCAGGGGAGCAAACGGG
Molecule: ribosomal RNA, 253 nt
Filed under: uncultured bacterium
Lineage: Bacteria
Description: partial 16S ribosomal RNA
Rfam family: Bacterial small subunit ribosomal RNA
Source: RNAcentral